UCGUGGUUACAAGUCGCAUUUUAUCGCGCGCUAAAUAAACAAAUAACACCAUAGUAUUUAUAUGAAUAAAAUUCUCCUAUAGGUAUUUGUCGAUUGUUCCAUUCGUAGGUAUGUUUAUAUAAGCUAGCCCAUUUAGCUAAAUCGAAUCGAGUGUGUAUUAUUGUAUUAUAAUAUCUUCCUGUCUAUUCAAGCUGCUUCCGAGCAUUAGCUAUUUAAACGGUGUCGGCUGCCCUGGCAGAGUCCAAUAAGAUCUCGCCCGUGUUGGUGCUCGAAGAAUGGUCCUUAUUGCUGUAGUGGGCGCGGCGGUGGCAAUCAUCGGUGCGGCGCUACUGACAGCUACGAUGAUAGACAUGUUCCCUCGCUAUGAGCCUGUUAUCACCACCCUGCCGCCUGACGCCAUGGGACAUUACACGACUAUCAAGCUUGCCCUUCCACCUGAACCCGACAUGGUUCUACGACGACCCUUGAAAAAAAUAAUAUAAAAAAUGGACAUUAUAGCUGAUAUACAACAGCUGGUAUGUCGUCUUAGUCUGUAGGCGGUACAUUUCUUUUUCAAACGGGAUACUGGAUUGAGCAGUCAUGUUUAUAAGCAUUCUUGCUUAGUCUUGUGGAUGUAAUUGCCAUGCCAACUUUGCCCUUAAUGAUUUGCAAUUGGUGUGAUAAUGAUGAUUACUUUCCAAAGUUGGGUUUAGUUAGGUUGUUCAUAGUCAAUUAGGGGAUUUGUUGUACAUAGUUUAAAUGAAAAUGAGGGGUUCAUUAAUUUUAAGUGUUUUUUUUAUUGUUGCAUUUGUUAUUUGGUCUUUUUAUGUUAUUUGAGAUCAGAAAAUUAAAAUGAAUGUUAAUUGGU
Molecule: long non-coding RNA, 847 nt
Organism: Spodoptera frugiperda (fall armyworm)
Lineage: Eukaryota; Metazoa; Arthropoda; Insecta; Lepidoptera; Noctuidae
Exons: 2
Source: RefSeq, a predicted model, not a curated record